UUAAUAUUAGUUAUGAAAUAUAUUUCAAGAAAUUUUAUAUCUAGUUUUUUAAGAGUAAAAGUUUAAUAGAAUAAUUUUUAUAAAAAUUAAUAUGGUUUAGCUUAUUAAUUUUAUAUACUGAUAGAAUUUUUUAACCUUAGUAAAUUUGAUAGUGUUUAUUUUAUAAAUUUAUAAUGGAGGGUAAUAUAAAUAAAAAUUUUUAUUUGUUAUUUUUUUAUUAAAAAAUUUAUUUAAAUUUUAGAGUUUUAUUUAUAAUGAAAAAAUUAGUAAAAAUUUAUUUAUAUUAGAAAAUAAUUAAUAAUUUAUAAUUGUUAUAAUUAUUAUAAAAAAUGAAUUCGGCAAAAAGUAUUAUUUGACUGUUUAGCAAAAACAUUGUUUCAUGAAGAAUAUAUGAAAUAAUGUCUGUCCACUGAUAUAUUUGAAGGACUGCAGUAUAUUGACUGUAUAAAAGUAGCAUAAUCAUUAUCUUUUUAUUUUGGGGUUGGUAUGAAGGCGAAACGGAUAAGUUCUUUAUUUUUUAUAAGUGUUUUAAGUUUAUUUUUAAGUGAAAAAUCUUAAUUAGAUGAGAGGGACAAGAAGACCCUCAUAAGUUUAAUUUUUCUUUUAUUUAUGUUAUAGGAAAAUUUAAUUAGAUAAUAUUACAUUAGAAAUUUGGUUGGGGCGAUUAGUUAUAAAACAUAAUUUAUUUAUAAUUUUU
RNAcentral lists this ribosomal RNA (697 nucleotides) under Pseudopolydesmus canadensis. RNAcentral describes it as "partial large subunit ribosomal RNA". Lineage: Eukaryota; Metazoa; Arthropoda; Diplopoda; Polydesmida; Polydesmidae. The record is from RNAcentral.